Treponema lecithinolyticum ATCC 700332 is the source of this 373-nucleotide non-coding RNA. The record is from Rfam. Lineage: Bacteria; Pseudomonadati; Spirochaetota; Spirochaetia; Treponematales; Treponemataceae.
UUUGGAAGAGAUGUAACCGCCGUUACAGCCGCUUUUCGGUUGUGACUGAGGAAAGUCCGGGCUCCUUCGGAAAGGAUGCCGGCUAACGGCCGGGGCAGCUGAAUAAGCUGUACAGACAGCGCAACAGAAAACAAACCGCCUGCUGUGCAGGCAAGGGUGAAAAGGCGGGGUAAAAGCCCACCGGGUAUUCGGUAACGGAUACCGCAGUGCAAGCCUCAUUCGGAGCAAGGUCAAGCAGUAACUGAUUAUUCCGAAUCGAUAGUUACGGGUAGACCGCUGGAGACACGGAGCAAUUCGUGUUCAAGAUAGAUGGUUACGGCAAUCCGUUUUUAAGGAUUGUUUACAGAAUCCGGCUUAUUCUCUUCCAUUUUUU